RNAcentral lists this long non-coding RNA (580 nucleotides) under Panax ginseng (ginseng). RNAcentral describes it as "long non-coding RNA (PGIN_LNC004130)". Lineage: Eukaryota; Viridiplantae; Streptophyta; Magnoliopsida; Apiales; Araliaceae. The record is from RNAcentral.
CGAGAUCAAAACAAAUAGUAAUAUACCUUGCCACACAGGCAAGUCAAAUAAUGCCACAAAGGCAAUCAAAAUAAUGCCACACAAACAAUCACAUAUCAGACUGCACAAUCCAGAUGCAUGCAAAAUUGGAAGGCGUGUUUGGCACAAACAUCACCACUCUGCAGAACAGAACAGAACAGAAAAUAGGGUCGACCCAUACGCCUCCCAUAACAAAACACCAAAUGGCCAACUCCCACCGGAGCACAAAACGGAGACGUCGUGGACUGAUCACACCACCAUGAAAGAUGUCAUGCCUCGGUGCCAAGAGGGAAUGCCUGUGGUACCCCCACAUGUGGUUAUAGCUCAGGUAUACCCUACGACAUUCUAACAACAACAUCAUGCCACAACACAUGCGACAUAAUAUUAACACAAAGGGUUCUAAUAUGUGCAUGUUAUACUGAAAUGAAUCAUCAACUCAAAGUCUCCAAACAUAUACUAACAUGCACAUUACUACAAAUAUCAAAAUACAUUUAGACAUGUUGUACUAGUCUAAAGAGUACAAAUAUGAGUUUCAACUAUGAACGCCAAACGAAACUAUCAC